AGGCCAUUUUCAUUUCUAUCCAGCCAAGCCUCAAGUGUAGUACUACUACAUAUGCGUGUGUGUGUGUGUGUGCAAAGCAGCACUUGCAAGUGUGCUUUGCCAUUCUGCUUGUUGCUUCGGUAGUAUACUUGAGUGCAAGUAGUAGUAGGCUAGUACCACACAGCCGUUGCCCUGUGUAGUUCAUCUCAUCCUUGACUUCGUCCGAUCCUGAGUAGCCAGCUACUCUGUACGUAGUUCGGGCUGACAAUUGGCAUCAGAGCCUCAGGUUAUGCCGAAAGGAGGCAUCGCCGACGAUGGUUCCAAGACCGCCGAGCAAAGCUCGACUAAGGACACCCGUGCGGCGGACGCGCUCGCGCUGUGAGGCAGGCCGGGAGGUGAGCUGGGUGUGCCACGCUCCGUGCGAGACGUGGGCAUGUCCAGUACCUCCUUCUCUCUCCUCACGCGGACCAACUAUCCCAGUUGGUCCGUCCUGAUGAAAGUCAUCAUGGAGGCGCGGCAUAUGUGGGAAGCCGUGGAAACCGGCAAUGUCGAGUACGAGGAGGACCGGCUGGCGAUGGAGGCGAUCUUGCACUCCGUCCCAGAGGAGAUGGUGCUCACCCUUGGCGCCAAGGAGACGGCCAAGGAAUCAUGGGACACCAUCAAGACUCUACGCAUCGGCGUGGAGCGCGUACGGGAGUCGAAGGCCCGGACCUUGCGCCUCUAGUACGAGGAGAUCCGGUUCAAGGCCGGUGAACAAGUCGACGACUUCGCCUUGCGGCUGCAAGGUCUCGUCAACGAGCUCGCAACGCUCAGAGAUCACACCGACAACAAGAUGGUGAUUCUCAAGUUCCUCCGCGUCGUCACCAGAUAGUGCAAGCAACUGGCCUGGUCCAUGGAGAGUUUGGUGGAUCUCUCCACCAUGGCGAUCGAGGAGCUGGUAGGGCGGCUGAAGGUCGUCGAGGAGCGCGGCGACGAAGCCGACAACCGUGCUGGCGACGAACUACUGCUCACCAGGGAGCAGUGGGACGCGCAGCUUCAGCGACUCCGACCAUGCUGGUGACGUGGAUACAGCGACUCCGACCAUGCUGGUGACGUGGACUCCCGGAAGAGCACCUCGGGCAUACUGUUCCUUCUCGGGAAUAGUCCAGUCAGCUGGCAAUCGGUGAGGCAGAAGGUUGUCGCUGCAUCUUCGUGUGAGGCGGAGUACAUAGCGGCAGCUACAACGGCCUGUCAAGGCAUUUGGCUUGCUCGCCUUCUUGGCGAGAUGCUGAAUCAGAACACCGCCCCUGCGCUCAUCUUCAUCGACAACAAGUCGGCGAUUUCGCUCUGCAAGAAUCCAGUGCUUCAUGACCGCAGCAAGCACAUCGAUCUGCGCUAUCACUUCAUACGUGACUGCGUCGAGAAAGGCACGGUGAUCGUGGAGUUCAUCAGGACUGGUGAGCAGAAGGCGGACAUCCUGACCAAGUCACUUGGUCGCGUCCUGUUCCAAGAACUGCGCGACAAAGUCGGGCUCAUGGAUAUCAAGCUCCUUCGACAAGGUUGAGGGGGAGAUAAUUGGGUCAACCAUAGUCUUCGGUUGCAUGCACGCAUCAGCAGUAGCUUCCUUGGCUUGAAAGGAAGUGGUAUUCACCUAGUAGUUUCCUGGUAGUUCACUUAGCAUUGCAGGGAAGUUGACUAGUAGUAGACUAGAGCUGUGCAUGCAAUUACGUAGUAGCUUCCUAGUAGUUUCUAGAAAUAUGCUUUGCAGGGUAGUGGUAGCAGUCCCGUGAGUGGCAUGUAAGUACGUAGGUAAUUUCGUGUGUGUGUGUGUGUGUGCGCAUUGUGCACGACCAGCCCUAUAAAAGGACCCCGGUCCUUCGGUUGUAAUAAGGCCAUUUUCAUUUCUAUCUAGCCAAGCCUCAAGUGUAGUACUACUACAUAUGCGUGUGUGUGUGUGUGUGUGUGUGUGUGUGCAAAGCAGCACUUGCAAGUGUGCUUUGCCCUUCUGCUUGUUGUUUCGGUAGUAUACUUGAGUGCAAGUAGUAGUAGGCUAGUACCACAUAGCCGCUGCCCUAUGUAGUUCAUCUCAUCCUUGACUUCAUCCGAUCCUGAGUAGCCAGCUACUCUGUACGUAGUUCGGGCUGACAAUUGGCAUCAGAGCCUCAGGUUAUCCCGAAGCAUAUGCCGAAAGGAGGCGUCGCCGACGAUGGUUCCAAGACCGCCGAGCAAAGCUCGACUGAGGACACCCGUGCGGCGGACGCGCUCGCGCUGUGAGGCAGGCCGGGAGGUGAGCUGGGUGCGCCACGCUCCGUGCGAGACGUGGGCAUGUCCAGUACCUCCUUCCCUCUCCUCACGCGGACCAACUAUCCCAGUUGGUCCGUCCUGAUGAAAGUCAUCAUGGAGGCGCGGCAUAUGUGGGAAGCCGUGGAAACCGGCAAUGUCGAGUACGAGGAGGACCGGCUGGCGAUGGAGGCGAUCUUGCGCUCCGUCCUAGAGGAGAUGGUGCUCACCCUUGGCGCAAGGAGACGGCCAAGGAAGCAUGGGACACCAUCAAGACUCUGCGCAUCGGCGUGGAGCGCGUACGGGAGUCGAAGGCCCAGACCUUGCGCCUCCAGUACGAGGAGAUCCGGUUCAAGGCCGGUGAACAAGUCGACGACUUCGCCUUGCGGCUGCAAGGUCUCGUCAACGAGCUCGUAACGCUCGGAGAUCACAUCGACAACAAGAUGGUGAUUCUCAAGUUCCUCCGCGUCGUCCCCAGGCAGUACAAGCAACUAGCCUGGUCCAUCGAGAGUUUGGUGGAUCUCUCCACCAUGACGAUCGAGGAGCUAGUAGGGCGGCUGAAGGUCGUCGAGGAGCGCGGCGAUGAAGCCGACAACCGUGCUGGCGACAUGCUGGCAACGAACUACUGCUCACCAGGGAGCAGUGGGAGGCGCAACUUCAGCAGCGCGGCCGCGACGGCUCUUCCGGCAGUGGGGGAGGCGCCCCCACGGGAAGCAGAGGUCGCGGCAGAGGCGGUGGCCGCGCCCAGAGCGGUGGCGGCAACCGCGGGCGCAAUCCAAUCCAGGCAGGGCGAGGCAGUACAACAGGAACCCCCCUAUAGCAACACAUUUUUCCGUAUCUAGAAGACCAUAUAUGCGUUGUUAGUGUCUUUACCAACGGUUUAGGAUGCGUUGCCUUAUCCGGCGUUGCUAGCGCAUAAUGCAACGCUUAUAGGCCCUGUUUGGUUCGGCUGUGGAUUUCUAAAAGCAGCUGUGAAAAAUCUGUUGUGAAAAAGCAGCUGUGGAAAAUCUGAUGUGAAAAAGAUGUAGGUCAUUUGUCAAACAGCUGAUACAACUUUUUCAGAUUUUGGCCCGCAGCGGAAUCAGAUUUUGAAAAGCACGUCCUGGGCUGCUUCCGCUUUUGGUUCAGAUUUUGGCAGCGGAUUUCUGAAAUUGGAUUCUGCUGGAUUCGCUGUUUGGUUCAGAUUCUGCUGCGCGGCAGCGGAAUCCGUCGAUAAAAGCUGAACCAAACAGGGCCAUAUUAUCGUUGGUAAAAGAGACCGUUGCAAGAGUACAACACAUAAAACAGACUUGUCCAACACUUCUAUGUGUUGGAGGGCUUGGCAACAAAGAAUACUUGUCCAACACUUCUAUGUGUUGGAGGGCUUGGCAACAAAGAAUUUGCAACGCGGUUCAUAUAUAAUGUGAAUAAUAUUUUUUUAUACAUAUUGCCAACAAUUAAAUUAGUGAUUUACAUAAUUGUGAUAAUUAUGAAUUUCCAGUAAAGACAAACAAGAGAAUAUACUCACAAGAGGAAGAAAUCAUAUAUUAAAUAAAACUGUUGGAUUACAAUAGUGCAUAUUACACAAGAAAAAUCAUCCACAUGGGAAGUAUAAUCUAAAUGUUUCUUGACGGCAAAACUUAAAUUGAAAGCAUCCCUACAACGUAACUAAAACACAAUCGAGGAACAUCAUCCAACAGGAACAUCAUCCCUACAACUUAACUAAAAUUGAAACCAUCCAUCUUCAUCAUCAUGAACAUGAACAUCAUCAUCAUCCUUGUAGUAUACUUGCCACACACACCAAUAGAAUCAUCCAUUUAUCUUUUGAAUCUACAAACAAAAAAACAAAAUGAACUGUUAACACACAAUGCAUUGACAUGAUGCAAGUAGUCAUAGAGGGAGGAUAUUACUCACUUACAGAGGUUGAGAUGCAAAAACAAAUCUACAUUACCAAGAGUAUUGCAGUUUUUGCGACUCUGUACCCAAUCUUCAAUUUUCACAAGUGCCAUAUCAACAUGCACUACCCAGAAUUCAUUAGUAAUUUCAGCACCAUCAAGUUCAAAUUUAGGAUCACAACUUACAACUGUAGCAAGAGCUACAUGUGUUAUGAUUUUUUAGGCUCAUUAAAAAUACUUUUGUUCCUACCUGUUAGAGAAAAUCAAAGUUACCAUUGGCAGAAUCAUGUCAAGCAAAAUAAUUAAUAGAAACGCGACAUAUAACAGAAAAGGUUGAGAGGCCAAGACAUGUCGUGCUUGCAUCUUCCCCUCUACUAUAUGGUUAUGAAUACAUCUACAGGUUAAUCUCAUGAUGUGCAACAUCUAUGAAAUUCUAUGAAGCCUUUCACUACAAACAAAGUAGUUUUGGUGAUGGACGCUGAAAAUAAUUAAACUUCAUAUGAUAGCUUCAGUGUAGAACACAAAGAUAGACAUUUUUAUUCGAGUAGCAGUAUGGUAUGAUCAACUGCAUAAUUCUGAGGCACCUACCGGAAGAUACUGAAGCAGAAUGUUUGGCCAUUAAUCAAGUAAAAACAUAUUACUAUAUCAAUACCUGGGACAUAUUAAGCCAAAAGAUAAAUUAAAUUUACCAAAUUAGUGCAAAUAAAACAUAUUAGACAAUAAAAAGAAGCUUUGAAGCAUAAGAUCUAUCAUAAAUGGAGUACUCCCAGUACCGACCCAAUGAUUUUGCAUGAAGUGCAGCAUGGACAGCAGGGCGGAUCAACCAUUAGUUCAUCUUUACCACCAACUCCUAAUAAAAUAGCUAGUAUAUAUCCAGAUCAAACUCUAAAUAGCACAUCUGAGCAGAUAAAUCAAAGGCAGUGACACUAUUAAGAAAAGGAGAAGACACGGCAGAGAAAACAAGACUGUAGUAUGUUCGAACAAAUAAUUAGGAUGUCUUGUUUGUAGACUACAAAUACAAAUCAGAUAUAGAUACGGCGAUCUAUUUAGUUGGAAGUUGCAGGCAUCCAAAAAAUAAUAUUGAAUGUGGUCUAAUAAUUGAACGACACUACAGAUGGACCAUGCCAAUUAAAGUUAUAUAGAAACAAUUGACAUUAUUUUUCUUUUUCUUUUUGCAAUCCAUCAGUACAUGACCUCAUGAUGAAUCAGAAACAUGGAAGUAUUUAUAAAGUUGCCAUAUGCUACAAUUUUACUUCUCUUUUCCUCAUGGUGUGUAUUCUUCCUUGUAAAGGAAAAGCACAUCAAGAGAAUAAAGGAGUGACACUACGGAUGUAGGCAAGCAUGGUAUAAAGCGGAAGCACGAACCACAAAAGAAGUGUCUAGAAUUUGGCAAACCAGCAGACAGAACCGUGUAGGUAUAUGUUGUUAAUAAUAGGAGAAGGGGUCAUCAAUCAAAUUCCAAUAGCCAAGUGAAUAAAUGGAAAACAUCCAUGGUUUUCUAUUCCUGGAACACAAUCUAGUUCAGCUAUCAUUAAAAAAUACAGAAGUCAGAUAAGUUGUAAUAGGUGUGGAAUUUUAUCUAACAUGUCACUUGACUAAAUAAGUACUACUCGUCUCAGCAUAGUUUUAUAAGAUUUGUUUCUCUUCUACUGUAUUUAGGGGUUACACAGUAAACAAUUUAUGUUCAUAAAUCAUAUGUAAAUCGCAAGAUCUGCUUGCAUAAAAAAAUUGAUAUGACACGCAGCUCACAUAAGCAUCUUUUAAAUGGCAAGCAUAGCUCGUUGUAGAUGUACUCAGUAAUAUUUUUCAGAGUUUUGUGACAAGCAACAGUAAUUGAUCAACAGAUUACCUUCCUUACGCUCUUGAACUCCAACUAUAGUGGGGAGAAAGCCUUAUGCGGCUGAGUGUUAAUGUCACUAGAUGCUGAUGGAUGAUCAUGCGGAGAACUGUGGAUCAGAAGCCCUCAGAUCCAACAAGUACUCGGCUUUGCCAUGCUCUGCACCGAUGUCCUUCUCCCCCAGCGUCCCAGCGGCCUAGUUGACCGAGCUGCAUAAAGCUGUCAAGUUGCUCCUCAGUUGUAGUAGCAGAGAACACAGAGAUCUAAAUGGUCUUUUGAGCGAAUGAAAUAUGUAAACAAAUUACUGAAUUGUGACUCAAAUAAAAGAGAGGGAGAAAGUUUUGGGGUCAUGUCCAUUGCAACAUAUCCAGUGCUUGAGUGCCAUUGCAUUUCUCUGCACCGAGUGGAGGUAACCUGCUUUGAAGUCUCGGAAACAAAUAUGACCAUAUGACGGUGUGAAUGAUCAGGCCUACAACAUAAGCAAGUGGCACCGUAAGCAGAAAGUGAAACAUUGAAUAAUCAACAUCAACCACGAGAAUAAGACAACAAGCCCUAUUAUACAAUCAGUCAAUCACAUAAUCAACAACAGGAACCAACGACUGCACAAUCAAGUUCACUUCCAUGGACUGGUGACAACCUCCUAAGCCACAACUAGAAUCAAUUCAAUCACAGAAAGAGGAUUUAGCUGGAAGCUCCCCUCCACACCAACCAGCUGUAAUUCAGUCUGUCGUUCAUUAUCAGGGAUUGGCAAGUCGUAAGUACCAAUCCCCAACUAGAUUGAAGUGAAACAGAGCAUGAUGGGGCCAACAAAAUUGGGACAAGAGAAGCGGCCCGGCUCACCGCGGCAGGCGCGAUCGCGAGGGUGGUUGUAGCUGCAGCUCUUCCCGUAGCCGCAGGCCCCCGUGCGGAGGUAGUAGACGCAGUUGGUCGCAGGGGAGCGAUGACGAGGGGCGGCGCGCCGGGAUGCAGGGUAUCAGGGGAGUGGUGACGAGCGACGGUGCGCCGGGAUGGAGGGUCGCAGGAGAGUGGUGACUGGUGAGGGGCGGCGUGCCGGGACGGAGGAUCUCAGGCGAGCGGUGAGGAGCGCGCUCCGGGAUGCAGGGUAGGUCGAGGGGAGGCGGCCGGCGAGGGGGCCUAUAGGCUCGAGAGGAAUAAGGGAUGCUGGGGACAGGGAACGAUCUAGGUUAAUCAUGACAACCAGCUUGGGCCGGGCUAGAGAUAUGUGUUGGGCUUUUGUUCGAGUUUGGCCGGUCACACAAUAGGUCAUGAGCUGCAAGCCUGCAACAGAUAUGGUACAAUGCUUGUAUGCGUAUCUUUUUCGAUAAAAGGCGCUUUUAUUAUCUCAAAAUGUAGCAUCAAAGUGAUACAAAGCAUUAAGAGUAUCACCCGACCUCUGCAUAACUAAGAUGCACACAGCCAAACACCAGUAGUCUGAUAAACAGAAAGAUAAAAGACCGACAAUUCGGCAACAGUAGAGUCCAUAGACCGACACUAUGCCUAUGUCGAAAAAGAUGAUGGACCGAGCCGGAGAUUAUGCUGCCAUCCAUGUUGGGUAAAACCUCUGUAGCCACCUGCUCCAACAGCGUACACACCGCCUUGAAUAGCGGUUGGUACUCCGCUCGUUGUAGCGUACACCACGUACGAAGCGAGUGCGUACAACGGAAAAUAACCUGCAAAGGAGAAACAGUUUUGUCAAUUAAAACAACAUCAUUUCUACAUAGCCAAAGCGACCAUAGUAAGGCAUACGCUCCCACCCUUAUUAGUGUUUUGUAUGCAUUUGAAAUACCGUCCAGUCAAUGACCAAAAAUAUUGGCAACACUUGUGGGCGGAUACAAAUUUGACACUAUUUGGAUGGCUGACCACGUAGAACACGCAAACUUACAGUGAAAAAAGAGGUGUUUAAUUGUCUCGUCAUGAGUACAAAAACAACACUUCUUACUUCCCGACCAGUUGCGUCGUGCAAGGUUGUCUUUUGUUAGCACAACUCCCCUACGGAGAUACCACAUGAAUAUUUUAACUUUAAGUGGUACCUUCGCUUUCCAAAUUUUUUGGUUAUUACUCACCGGUACCUCAGAAUGCGUGAGUGCACGAUACAUAGAGUCUACUGUGAAAAACCCUGAUGUAGUAAGGUUCCAACGAAACACAUCACGACCUUGUGUCAGGAUAAUCGAAUCUAGACGGGACAAUAGAUUAUUCCAUGACAUAAGUCGGGUGCCAAUCAAAUCCCGCCUGAACGAAAUAUUUGGCGGGGAUGAGCUGAACACUUGUGCAAUAGUAUUAUUCUUAUCGCGUGCAAUGUUGUAUAAGGCUGGAUAUUGUUCUCAGAGGCUAGCAUUGCCUAGCCAGAUGUCUUCCCAAAAACGAAUCUCUGACCCGUCCUUUAUCGCGAAAGACCCAAAGCGAAAGAGAUGUUUCUUUGCCGCCAUUAGGCCAACCCAAAAGUGUGAGUCUCCAGGUUUCCAACAUACCUGAGACACUGCCUUUUGGCCUAUAUACUUAUUGCGCAGCAUGGUUUGCCAAACACCAUCCUCUGUAAGAAGUUUGAACAACCAUUUACUAAGUAGGGCCUCAUUCUUGACCUGCAGGUCAUGAAUACCGAGGCCGCCCUGGUCUUUCGGCCUACAAACCACACUCCAUUUGGUCAGCCUAUAUUUUUUCUUUUCACCAUCUCCUUGCCAAAAGAACCUGGACCUAAAAUAAUCCAAUCUAUGCAAGACCCCCUUUGGGAGCUGGAAGAACGAAAUCAUAUAGAGGACCAUAUUUGUGAGGACAGAGUUUAUUCGAACCAGUCGUCCUCCAACCGAGAGCAACUUGCCUUUCCAGCUGCCCAAGCGUUUCUCUAGUCGCUCCUCCACAUGCUUCCACUCGGCAAUGGUGAGACGCCGAUAAUGAAUUGGUAUUCCCAAAUAUUUAAUUGGGAAUUGUCCAUGUGCACAACCAAAAAGGUCGGCAUAAUCGGCCGCUGCAUCAACGGCUUCUCCAAAGCAGAACAAUUCACUUUUAUGGAAGUUAAUUUUAAGACCUGACAUUUGCUCAAACGCUGACAGCAAGAGUUUCAGGUUUCUAGCCUUGUCUAGGUCAUGUUCCAUAAAGAGAAUUGUGUCAUCGGCAUAUUGCAGAAUAGAGAGACCACCAUCCACUAGAUGUGGCACUACUCCUGUAAUCUGUCCGUCCUGCUUGGCGCGCUCAAUCAGAAUAGCCAACAUGUCAGCCACAAUGUUAAAUAGCAUUGGGGAUAUGGCAUCACCCUGUCGUAGUCCUUUUUUUGUCUGAAAGUAAUGGCCGACAUCAUCAUUGACUUUGAUGGCCACACCACCGCCAGUUACAAAAUUUUGGAUCCACUUGCACCAUUUAUCGGAGAAGCCUUUCAUCCUUAGGGCCUGUUGGAGGAAAGACCAUUUGACCUUGUCAUAGGCUUUUUCGAAGUCUAUUUUGAAUACUACCCCACUCAUGUUUUUUCGGUGCAUCUCAUGGACGGUCUCAUGCAGGAUUACUACGCCAUCGAGUAUGUUCCUUCCUUGCAUGAAAGCUGUUUGAGAUGGCCGGACAACAUGGUCAGCUACCGAGUUUAAUCUAUUCGUCGCCACUUUGGUGAAAAUCUUGAAGCUGACAUUAAGGAGGCAUAUGGGUCUGAACUGUUGAAUCCGUUCGGCCUCCUUAAUCUUCGGCAACAAGACAAUCUCGCCAAAAUUAAGUCUGAAUAGGUCAAGUCGGUCGGCAUGAAAACAAUUGAACAACUCUAAAAGGUCAGACUUGAUCAUAUCCCAGAAAUUCUGAUAGAAUUCUGCGGGGAAACCAUCAGGGCCUGGAGCUUUGUUAUGUUCCAUUUGGAACACCGCAGCUCGCACCUCCUCUUCUGAGAAUGGUGCCGUUAGGAUAUCGUUUUCUUCUGCCGUGACCUGUGGAAUAUCAUCUGUUCGGGUCUCAUCAAGGGUGAAAUUCCCUUCAGUCGGCGCUCUGAAAAGAGAUUUGUAGUAUUUGGUGAUAUACUUUUUGAGCUCCUCCUGACCUUCGAUCCUUCCCUCAUCUUGUAUGCGUAUCUACCGUGAAUAGUCAAAACGUUGUAAAAUAUGUGUUGCUUAAUGGAGGGUAUCCUUGUAGUUGGCGCUGGCAACGGUGGCAAGUGCCGCUACUGCAACAUGCCGGGUCAUUGGAUCUGGGAUUGCCGCAGGAGGAAAGCCGACGAGGCAGCCGCGGCAACGACAAACCUCGUCCAAGCUGACGUGGACGGCGGGCCGACAAUGAUGCUGGCAAGAGUCGAGCCCAUGCAGGAGAGCACAACAUCUCUCGCGACCACGAUUCCGACAACCACCCAUUCCGUGCAGGAGGCACGGAACCCGUCCACGGGAAUCAUCACUCCAGUGACAGGCCACACCUCGACAACGACGUUUUUGGGGCCUGUCGACUGGGUGGCGAUGAAGGCUCGGGUGUGGGGGCCGGAGCCACACCCCGGCGACGGCGUCCCCGAACUCGGGACCCGACGAGGUCGCACAAGUUGGCGCGGCAACGACGCGUAUGGCGGACCAUGCUCCGACCAUGAUGCUGGCGACCAUCGACUCCGUGCAGGAGCGCACGGAGACUCAGGUCAACCACACCACAACAACAAAGUGUUCGGGGUCCAUCGUAUUGACGGGAGUUGGCUCCCUGACAACGGCAUGUGCGUGCGGCUACGUCUUCCUCAACGAGGAGAGAGCCGUGACCACACCCACGCUUGCAGGCGGCAAGCAAAGUGAGGGUUGUUCCUCGACACCGGCGCCACGAACCACAUGACUGGUUCGGUCGACGCGUUCAUGGAGCUGGACCGCUCAAUCACUGGGAAGGUGCGGUUCGCGGACGGACCCAUGGUGGAGAUCCACGGGUGCGGGACCGUCGUCUUCGCCGACAAAGGAGGUGAUCAUAGGGCGUUCACGGACAUCUACUUCAUCCCGGCUCUCAAGAGAAGCGUCGUGAGUGUUGGACAACUCGACGAGGGCUGGUUCGACAUCGACAUCUGGCGCGGUGUUCUCACCGUGCACGACCAGCAGAAGAGGCUGCUCAUCGAGGUAACCCGCUCGGCAAACCGCCUCUACAAGCUCUUCUUUCGACCCGUGCGUCCUGUGUGCCUUGCCGUGGGCCAUGUCUCCGACGCAUGGCGUUGGCAUGCCCGGCUAGGACACCAGCACUUCGAUGGGUUGCGGAAGAUGGCGCGAGGAUACCUCGUUCAUGGGCUACCUCACAUCGAGCACGCCGACGAGCUGUGUGAUGCGUGUCUUGCCGGGAAGCAGCGGCGCCUACCCUUUACUGAGAAGGCACGCUAUCGGGCGCAGAAACCCCUGGAGCUGGUUCACGGGGACCUCUGCGGCCCAAUCACCCCGGCAACGCCAGGAGGGCGUCGCUACAUCCUGCUGCUCGUCGACGACUAUAGCAGGUUCAUGUGGGUGCUGCUCCUCGCCUCCAAGGAUGAGGCGGAGCAAGCCAUCGUCAAGCAGCAAGCGGCAGCAGAGGUCGAGUAUGGCCACAAGCUGCGCGUGCUGCGCACGGACCGUGGCGGCGAGUUCACGUCAGCCACGUUCUACAAGCACUACGAUGAGAACGGGGUGCAACGUCACCUCACAGCCCCUUACUCGCCGCAGCAGAAUGGCGUCGUCGAGCGGAGGAACCAGACGGUGUUCGGGAUGGCAUGCUGCAUGCUCAAGGCAAAGCAGGUGCCGAGCACGUAUUGGGGGGAGGACGUGCUCACGGCCGUCUUCAUCCUCAACCGCUCCUUCACAACGAGCAUCGACGGCAAGACACCUUAUGAGGCAUGGUAUGGGAGGAAGCCCAAUGUAUGCUUCCUCCGCACCUUUGGCUGCGUCGGGCAUGUCAAGACGGCGUGCCCACAGCUGAAGAAGCUCAACGACAAGAGCACCUCGAUGGUGUUCAUGGGCUACGAGACGGGCUCUAAGGCGUACAAGAUGUACGACCCCGUCUCAAAGCGUGUGCAUGUCUCGCGCUAUGUCAUCUUCGACGAAGACGCGCGAUGGACUUGGGAGGCGUCGGGGGAGGCCCCGGCAAGCAGCUCCUUCAUCGUGGAGUACCCGAUGUACUCUAGGACCCCGGGAAGCAAGACCCUGGGAAGUGCCACCCCGGGAAGCCCGAGAGGUGUGGAUCCGGGAACCGCAACCCCGAGAACACCGUCCCUGGGUACGGUGUCCCCGGACAACCCGACGUCAAGCAAGGUGGGUCCCGGGAGGCAGUUCGCAACCCUGCUAACGGCGAGGUCGGAGCUGUUCGACGCCGCUGACAGCGUUGGCACCCCCCACAGGUUUCGGCGCAUGGGGGAUCUCCUCGGCGAGGCUGCGGCAACACCGCAACAGCCCGAGGAAGAGGACGUUGAUGACGACGACGUCUUGCAUCUGAUGGCCGGUGAGGAGCCGACCACAUUCGCGGAGGCCGAGCAAAAGAUUGUUGGCGCCACGCAAUGCUGGACGAGCUGGCAUCGAUCAACGACAACGCCACUUGGACACUCAUCACACUGCCUGCUGGGCACCGAGCCAUCGGGCUCAAGUGGGUGUUCAAGGUCAAGAAGGACGAGCACGGCGCCAUUGUCAAGCACAAGGCAUGCCUCGUCGCAAAGGGCUACGUGCAGCGUGAGGGAGUGGACUUCGAGGAAGUCUUCGCUCCGGUGGCAAGGCUGGAGUCCGUGCGACUCAUCCUUUCCGUGGCUGCUCACCGCGGGUGGGAGGUACACCACAUGGACGUCAAGUCAGCGUUUCUCAAUGGCGACCUUAAUGAGGAGGUGUACGUCUCCCAGACUCCAGGGUUCGUUGCCAAGAACGACGAGCAGGGCGUGUACAGGAUACACAAGGCCCUGUAUGGUCUCCGGCAAGCCCCAAGGGCGUGGAACACCAAGCUUGAUGCAAGCCUCGCAUCCCUUGGGUUCUCACGCAGCGUUUCUGAGCACGACGUGUACUCGCGUGGCACCACGAACACGCUCCCCAUCGUCGGCAUCUACGUCGACGACCUAGUCAUCGCUGGGGCAGAGCCCGAAGAGGUUCGACGCUUCAAGGGAGAGAUGCAUCGUCUCUUCAAUAGCGACCUCGGGCUGCUCCGGUACUACCUCAGUCUAGAGGUAAACCAGGAGGGUGGUCGCAUCACGAUCACGCAGACGGCCUACGCCACCAAGAUGCUCGAGUGAGCAGGCAUGAAGGACUGCUAUGUUGUGCAUGCUCCAAUGGAGGCACGGCUGAAGCUCAGCAAGGAUAGCUCCGAGAAGGCGGUGGAUGCUACAUUCUACCGCAACAUCAUCGGGAGCCUCAGGUACCUCGUGCACACCCGACCGAACAUCACGUUCGUUGUCGGGUACCUGAGUAGAUUUAUGGAAGCCCCGGCAAGCGAUCACCUCGCUGCCGUUAAGCACCUGCUCCGGUACAUCGCAGGUACACUCACGCAUGGAUGCGUGUAUCGUCGUGGCGACGACGAGAGCUUGGUCAGAUACAGCGUCUCCGACCAUGCUUGUGACGUGGACUCCUGGAAGAGCACCUCGGGCAUACUGUUCCUUCUCGAGAAUAGUCCAGUCAGCUGGCAAUCGGUGAGGCAGGAGGUUGUCGCUGCAUCUUCGUGUGAGGCGGAGUACAUAGCG
RNAcentral lists this long non-coding RNA (13549 nucleotides) under Triticum aestivum (bread wheat). RNAcentral describes it as "long non-coding RNA (TAES_LNC002035)". The record is from RNAcentral. Lineage: Eukaryota; Viridiplantae; Streptophyta; Magnoliopsida; Poales; Poaceae.